UUUUUUUUUUUUUUUUUUUUUUUUUUGAGUCGGAGUCUCCUGUGUCACCCAGGCCAGAGUGCAGUAUUACAAUCAUGGCUUAUCGCGGCCUUGACCUUCUGGCUCAAGCAAUCCUCCCGCCUCAGCCUUCCAAGUAGCUGGGACCCACAGGCGAGUUUGAUUUCUUUGCUAACGAAUUCCUAAUUCACCUUGCAGCGGGCCUGUCAGGGCCAUAUGCCCGGACAUCCACCUUGCCGACCGGCCCUGUGGUCUCUAAGGUGGAUGCACUCCGGUUGCCCGGGCUCUGCACGCGAUGCUGAGUCUCCAAGUCUGCCGCUGUAUAAGGGACUGACAGCCCUGAGCGUCUCGACGUGCCACCGUGAGCUGGGCUUUAUUCCACAGGGCGACUCUGCUUCCCGUGAUGAGAUGCAGCAUGUGAGCACAGAUCAAAGGGUAUCAGCAACUAACCCAUUCCCCAGGUGCUAAGCAGAGGACCAAGAGUUUAGUUCCUUACUUACUUGCUCCGAGCUUGAUUCAAAACAGCUUUCUGGGAUCCUGGGGACAAACAUCUCUAACUGGUGAGAAUUCUGGCUUUAGUAACGGAAGAAUCACCUAAAGCCCAUUUUGUAACUGCUGUUCUCAUCAGAACUUGAGGUCGAAGGGUAAAAUAAAAGGGGGGCCAAGAUCUUGACACCCCAGUUUGCACAAGGCUAACCAGCGUGCUUGAGGGGGUGAAAGGAGUAGGAUUUUUAAAGUGCUGAGUUUUAAAAACAUGGCUGUAGGCUGGGUGCACUGCCUCAUAUAUAUAAGCCCAGCACUUUGGGAGGCCGAGGUGGGAGGAUUGCUUGAGGCCACGAGUUCAAGACUAGCUUGAGUAACACAGCAACACUCUAUCUCUUUCAAAAGAAAAAAAAGUUAUUAAAAUAGUAAUAAAAAGGUUAAUACAAUAAAUUACUGUAUCAACAUGGCACCCCCUGCUUUCAGACGAGGUGCACUCUCUGUGGCUACGAUGAGGUCCGGAGAGAAAUGUAACUGGCAUCAUAGGGAAGGUGGACCCCAAAGCUCCACGGCACUACUCCUAUACAGUCUGUUAACCAGCAUGAAGUCUCCUCCAUAAUCAGAAGCCCCACCCUGGGACCCUGCCGGCAGCCCCAACUGGACAGAAUGGCCUCGUGAAUGUCCCUUCCUGCCACAAGCUGCAGACCCUGAGCCAGUCCUGGCUGUGACUGAGGCUGCGCAUAAACGUCUGCGCCCAACAGCUCACCUUUGUACAUGACAUGUCCAGUCCACCUCAUUUCAAAUGUUACACUUGCCCCAAGGUGAACAUGGAUGUUACAGGUUAACUCACUGCAUGUGUGCUAGACUUUCCCUAUAAGUGUUCAGACAUUGCACGAACCAGAUGAACAAACCCCACUUUCCCUGUAAACAUUCCGACAUUCCAUGAGCCCGAUGAACACACACAGCCAACAAACCCCGAACGCAGUAACGCCGCUGGCCUCCUCCCCUCCUGAGGGGCACGUGCUUACAGCUCCCCCGAGACCACAUUUCCCAAAGCACAGAGUGUUACUCGGAAAAGAAAACCUCCUUUUUCCUUCCUCUGUACAUCUCGUGGUCAUGUUAACAACUAUUGCUACAAAUGCAGAGAAACGAGGUAUCAUCUGUGCCGGUCACCGAAUUCCUAGCACCAAAGCUUCAGGGUUCAGGUGAAGCUUCUAUCACCCUAAAGCCAACUCUGGAGAUGAAGGCCGAACUGGGGAAAGGCUGUGUCACCGCAAAUCCACACCACGGGGCCCUCUGCAGUUGUGUGUAAGGAACUCUUGGCCUGUCCUGGGGUUUGGGGAGAUCAGGAUGCAAGCAGAUACUGUACGCUCUGCCACGGGACCGUGAAGUCUGCGAAACCUCAGAGGAACACAGAGACAAAUGGCUGCACGAGUCCCACAGGCCGAGUCUCGAUGGGCACCAGUGUCAAGAACAUAGACACGCCAGGAGGGGCAGCUGAUGCAGGCAACGCCUGCAACCCCAGCACGCGGCAGCACACGAGAGGGGGGUCUCUGGCCAGGCUCCACCACAACUGCCAUAUUCUGUAGCAAAAUUUUAAUCAUAGGUUGUAAGUAGUUAUAACUCUAACUUGUUUUACAGAUAAACAGAACACAGGGUACCAACAGACUCCAAAGUACUUCGCCUAGAACCAAGUCUAGAAUGCAGAUGGCUGCUGCUCCGAGUGUGAUGAGUCCCCUGUAGUGCCAUAAAUCCUAGAUCUAGGUGACUAAGUGCUCUGCCUAAACCAGAUGGCACCCUGAGGCUCUGAGGGCACCCUCUCUCCCCAGGCCAGUCCAUCAGCCCCGGCAGAAGCUUCUAGAGUAAGAAAUUGUGGAUUUGUAUUGGACAGAUGUAAACCAGGCCAAGUCACAGGGACUCAUCCUGGAAGCCCAUCCGUUUACCCACUCAUGCCCUGGAGAGCCCUGCCCCCGGCUCCACAUCCGCAGUCACGCUGAACCACAAGAACUGGCUUCUAGGCCCUCAAGCCACUCCCUCUCGCCCCCGGACAGACCCUUCUAAAACCGUGAGGCCCAGAGUAGACUUAACAGGUGGUCCCAGCAGAACUGGCCUCUGCAUGUAUUGAUACUUUGUGUGUGUGUGUGGGGGGGGUGGUGGUUCUUGUUCUGUCACUCAGGCACAGUGCACCAUAAGUACAGUGGUGCUAUCAGGGUUCACUGCAGCCUCAACCUGCCAGGCUUGGGUGAUCCUCCAGCCUCAGCUUCCCGAGUAGCUGGGACC
This is a long non-coding RNA of Macaca fascicularis (crab-eating macaque), 2757 nucleotides long. The record is from Ensembl. NCBI's taxonomy places the organism in Eukaryota, Metazoa, Chordata, Mammalia, Primates, Cercopithecidae.